This 102-nucleotide microRNA precursor is filed under the name Oikopleura dioica. RNAcentral's name for it is "microRNA odi-mir-1487 precursor". The record is from miRBase by way of RNAcentral. Lineage: Eukaryota; Metazoa; Chordata; Appendicularia; Copelata; Oikopleuridae.
ACACGAGCGCCAGACUGGCAGUGGGGACAAGUUUAGGCCCUGAGGCGGAUUGAAAAAUGCCCCAAGGCCUGGGCCCACUUCUUGACUGGCCCCGUGACAAAC